Sapajus apella (tufted capuchin) is the source of this 1426-nucleotide long non-coding RNA. RefSeq lists it as uncharacterized. NCBI's taxonomy places the organism in Eukaryota, Metazoa, Chordata, Mammalia, Primates, Cebidae. The transcript has 2 exons. The record is from RefSeq and is a predicted model, not a curated record.
GGGAGGCGGAUGUUGCAGUAAGCCAAGAUCAUGCUGAUGCCUGGGUAACAGAGAGCUUGAAAAAAAGAAACUGGAUAACUGAAUUUACAUCUCAUUUGGCUGGGAAAACACUUAAACAAAACUGAUAUGGAUGGAUGCUGAUAUAGUCUUCUUCCUCUUGGCAAUAAAGCUUUUCUUAGAUGCUAUUUUACCAAGAACACAGGAGUCAGUGGGCAAAUAAUUGGACCAACCAAUACUUUAUAAACAUGUUAAUUUUAUUGAGUAGGCAUCAAAGCGUCUCUCUGUGUCAGUUAAUGGAGAGGCUGUCACACAGAUUACAGAGCUAUUUUUACUGAAAUAAUCUUUCAUAAAAGAAAGAAAUUAAAUACAAUUCUUCUAUAAAAAAUGCAGUAGUCAUUACUGGAAAUUUUCCAAAAUGAAAGCAUGAUUUACUACAUAUUGCAAAAAUUGGUUUAGUGCUUUAAUACUUUACAAAGUAAUAUUCCAACCACUGACGACAGCUCUUACAAUGGGUUUGUUCUCCAAGAAUGGACCAGAUUGAAAAGGGAAAGUUGCAUUGACUUGGAAUGAACAGCUGCAGGUACAAAGGGGUUCUGCACAGCUGGGUCAGAGUAACGUGACUUGUGACCUAUUUUUGCCUUAAUAUUUUCCUUUGCCCACAGUAAUUAAAGAAAUGGGAGAAAUAAAGCAACAUAUGUCAUCAAAAGAUCAAAAAAAACAAGAAUGGAAUAUUCACUGACUUCAUUAGGCCAAAUGCUUGUUGAAAGGAACAAAGCAAAUACAGAGUGGGGAUGGUCCUUGUUAUAAUUAACUUCAACAAUCCUUAGUUAAAACUAGGCGAAAUUCUCAAAGGUGAUGGCGAAUGGAGUCACUAAGGAGCUUAGUCUUUCUGUGGACCCAGGGAAGACAGGCUGCAGCUGAAUGGUGACUGGCUCUGUCAGAGGUGAGGCUUGCCUCUGUGUGUACUGGGGCUCGAGGCCACGGCUGAUCUCCAACACUGUGCAUGGUAAACUUCCUAGUUUUGGUCCUAAGUUAGUGGAGACAAGCGGCCCCACUCCCUGCUGCCAAGUCAUCAUUCCAUAUCAGGUGUUUGGAUUUCAUUCCUGCACGCGGGAAGAAUGUGUGCAAAGAGCUGGACAGCCGAUAGGGCCUGGGAGACCUCCAUGGACGUCUGCCAUGGAGAACAUUUGCAUGGACCAAGGGGGCAGGCUCUUGGGAAGCACACUCUCUCUCCCCAGGUGCUGGCAGGAGCAGGCCACCAGUCUGUUUGAGCAGCAAUGAAAGGGACACUGUUUGGCAAUUCAAGCACAGGAACGCACAUGUGUGGGCCCACUCACUGCCGGCUGGACAGCUGCAGAGGGGGCGUGAUGAUGGAGACCUUAUGCCCCCUCCCACGAGGGACCUGAAAAUAUGGCAUCAAGAGAAA